RNAcentral lists this unclassified non-coding RNA (305 nucleotides) under Hevea brasiliensis (rubber tree). The record is from RNAcentral. Lineage: Eukaryota; Viridiplantae; Streptophyta; Magnoliopsida; Malpighiales; Euphorbiaceae.
GUGGAAUCGUGCUUGGAAGCUCGUUUGAACCCUGUUCGCUUCUCCUAAAAGGCAAACUCCUCUCAAAAUCUUAAUUUUUUUUAGUCGAGGUGUUGUAGUUCGCAUAUUUGAGCUCUUUCGAUGCUUGAGUUUGUUCUUGUUGGAUGUCUUUGUUGUUUUCUUACUCCAUCCUGAUCAAGCAUAAAAUCUGUACACGUAGUGUUUGAGUUUUCUCUUUCUUGUGUAUUCUUCUGCCUCAUUUCAAUGUAUUAUUAUUAUUAUUUUAUUGGGAUAAUGCACAAGUAGGCGCUUAACCUAUGCCCGAA